Molecule: long non-coding RNA, 387 nt
Filed under: Homo sapiens (human)
Lineage: Eukaryota; Metazoa; Chordata; Mammalia; Primates; Hominidae
Description: non-protein coding lnc-KCNJ3-3:1
Source: RNAcentral
AUUUUUCAGAUUACCCAAUCAUGAUCACGGUCUUUUCACAUCAGAGAUAUAAAAACAAAUAUCCUUCAAACUCUGCUUCCACUAAUAGCCUCUUGAUGACUUCUAGCAAAUCUCACCAACCUUGCCCUACCCCCUACCAUUAAUCUAAGAGGAGAACUCUUUGAAACUAGAGUUUCAUUCUCCUAAUCAAAUAUCACUACAGUGCUUAUAGGACUUAAUAUACUAAUUACAGCCCUUUACGUCCUGCAUAUGCUAAUCACAACACAACAAGGGACACUUACAUAUUAUUUUAACAGUAUGAAACCUUCCUUUACAUGAGAAAAUACAUUAAUAUUUACACAUUUUGCACCUAUCUUCCUAUUAUCCUUAUACCCUAAAAUUUUUAUG